This 506-nucleotide ribosomal RNA is filed under the name uncultured bacterium. RNAcentral describes it as "bacterial SSU rRNA". It matches the Rfam family "Bacterial small subunit ribosomal RNA", at positions 49 to 507 of the family's 1533-position model. The record is from RNAcentral.
UAAUACAUGCAAGUCGAACGCAUUGUGGUUGAAAUGAUAUGAAGUAACUUGUUCAGAUUUGAUUUUCAACAUUGCAAUGAGUGGCGAACGGGUGAGUAACACGUAGGGAAACCUACCUCUUAGCAGGGGAUAACAUUUGGAAACAAAUGCUAAUACCGUAUAAUAAUUAAAACCGCAUGGUUUUAGUUUAAAAGAUGGUCUUGCUAUCACUAAGAGAUGGUCCCGCGGUGUAUUAGUUAGUUGGUGAGGUAAUGGCUCACCAAGACAAUGAUACAUAGCCGAGUUGAGAGACUGACCGGCCACAAUGGGACUGAGACACGGCCCAUACUCCUACGGGAGGCAGCAGUAGGGAAUCUUCCACAAUGGACGAAAGUCUGAUGGAGCAACGCCGCGUGUGUGAUGAAGGGUUUCGGCUCGUAAAACACUGUUGUAAGAGAAGAAUGACAUUGAGAGUAACUGUUCAAUGUGUGACGGUAUCUUACCAGAAAGGAACGGCUAAAUACGUG